GACGAACGCUGGCGGCGUGCUUAACACAUGCAAGUCGAACGGAAAGGCCCUGCUUUUGUGGGGUGCUCGAGUGGCGAACGGGUGAGUAACACGUGAGUAACCUGCCCUUGACUUUGGGAUAACUUCAGGAAACUGGGGCUAAUACCGGAUAGGAGCUCCUGCUGCAUGGUGGGGGUUGGAAAGUUUCGGCGGUUGGGGAUGGACUCGCGGCUUAUCAGCUUGUUGGUGGGGUAGUGGCUUACCAAGGCUUUGACGGGUAGCCGGCCUGAGAGGGUGACCGGCCACAUUGGGACUGAGAUACGGCCCAGACUCCUACGGGAGGCAGCAGUGGGGAAUUUUGCACAAUGGGCGGAAGCCUGAUGCAGCAACGCCGCGUGCGGGAUGACGGCCUUCGGGUUGUGAACCGCUUUCGCCUGUGACGAAGCGUGAGUGACGGUAAUGGGUAAAGAAGCACCGGCUAACUACGUG
Molecule: ribosomal RNA, 468 nt
Filed under: uncultured bacterium
Lineage: Bacteria
Description: partial 16S ribosomal RNA
Rfam family: Bacterial small subunit ribosomal RNA
Source: RNAcentral